Molecule: long non-coding RNA, 1309 nt
Filed under: Oryctolagus cuniculus (rabbit)
Lineage: Eukaryota; Metazoa; Chordata; Mammalia; Lagomorpha; Leporidae
Description: lncRNA (ENSOCUG00000034776.1)
Source: RNAcentral
GUGGGGCGGGUAGAACGGCCACCAGCGGCUCCUGCAGUGCCAUCACCCACAGCUGCCGGCGGGUGGGUGCUGGAGCCAGUGGGCCUGGGUCUUGCUGUCGGACACAGGGUGGGAUUCCUGGGCCUUCUACCUCACAGACUCCUUGGCUGCCACAUGGGGGAUGCGGGCAGGCCCCUCCCAGGGGGCUCGGAGGGACUUUGGAGGGCACCAGGCCCCAGCAAGUGCUCUGGGAGACCAGGGGCUCGGAGGCCUGGGUUAGCAGGUCAGUGAUCUUGGGUACGGACAUGUGCCCCUUGUAGUUCAAAAAUGGCCUUUCCUACCCUGCUUCUUUCCAGUCCGAGUGAGGGGCACUGUGCCCCUGCUGGUGCUGGAACUCGGGGCGCCGACAGCCAGAGAUUCCCAGAGAAUAAAAGAAGUUUUCAGACGGCCCCUCUCCCGCUUCUCGGACCCGGUGCUGUGUACGUUACCCGGCGCGCUGCCUGCGGAAAACAGAAGCCAGAGGAGCAGACGAUGAGAGAGAAGGAGAGCCAGGAGGACAGGUCCAGCAAUGCCUCCCGCUCCCCGUCACUUCCUAGGUGAGAGCUGAGCCCGCGGGGCAGGGAGUGCCUCCCGGGCCCUGCACCCGCUCCUCCCGCUGGUGUGGGGGUGCCCCUGCCCUGCGCCAGCAGCCCUUCUGCAUCGCGUGGCCAUCUUCUGCUCCAUAGCCCUGUAUCCUCCUCCUGGGUCAGCAUGGGCUUCUGCCAGAAUCCAGCCUACCCAGGUGCACCCCGCUGUGUGAUCUGUGGGCCCAGCUGCACGUUUUCAUGUGUGUGUGAGACGUGAGGGUUGGGGACCCUCACGCACCUGUAGGAAGCUCUGGCUAGAUAGGAUGGAGCUGGUGGGAGGAAAGGAAAAGGGGUGGGGCCAAGGCCAGGGUCUGGCUUCUCCGAAUGCCGUGGUGUCCAUGACUAACUCCGAGGAUUCGAGGAACUCCAGACUCAGACCUGGCUAAGUAGGCUGAGCCUCUGCCUGCGGCACCAGCAUCCCACCUGGGCGCUGGUUUGAGUCCCGGCUGCUCCUCUUCUGAUCCAGCUCUCUGCUACGGCCUAGGAAAGCAGUGGAAGAGGGCCCAAGUCAUUGGGCCCCUGCACCACAUGGGAGAUCUGGAAGAAGCUCCUGGCUCCUGGUUUUGGAUCGGCGCAGCUCCAGCCACUUCAGUCAUUUGGGGAGUGAACCAGCAGAUGGAAGAUCUCUAUCUGUCCCCCCACCUCUCUCUAUAUAAUUCUGACUUUCAAAUAAAUAAAUAAAUCUUUUAUUAAAAAAAAAAAAA